AGGGAAGAUGGCGAUAACCAAGAUGUUAGUGGUAGAAUUUAUCUGGGAGGGUGCAGGUUGGGAAGAUGGCGAUGAUACAUUGGGGGUAAAUGGUAGAUUUUAUUUGGGCGUGUGACGGUAGGGAAGAUGGCGAUAAUCAAGAUGUUAGUGGUAGAAUUUAUUUGUAGGAGUAGGGAAGUUGGCAAUGAUACAAUGAUAGUAAGUUGUACAUUUUAUACGGUACUAUUAAACGUUUUGAAAGGGGUGAGAGUAGGGAAGUUGGCAGUGAGGGUAAGUGGUAUUAUUCAAUGUUUUGAAAGGGUGAGGAUAGGAAAGUUGGUAAUGAGGGUAAGUGGUACUAUUCAAUGUUAUGAAAGGGUGAGGAUAGGGAAGUUGUCAGUGAGGGUAAGUGGUACUAUUCAAUGUUUUGAAAGGGUGAGGAUAGGGAAGUUGGUAAUGAGGGUAAGUGGUACUAUUCAACGUUUUGAAAGGGUGAGGGUAGGGAAUGAUAAAAUGGGCAGUUGUUAAGCAAAUGGGAGGCCUCUGUCUGGGAUAUAUGUACCCGAUUUCAUUCAUCCUGGCCGUUUGAAUUUAGUAAAUAUAUUUUAUAAAUUUGUAGUUUAACUGCACGGAUGAAUGUCCACAACAUCUACCAUAUUCAGUGUUGGAUAACAACACAAAUAGUGAAACAGCAUCUAGAACAGUUUGUGCUGAUAAUACCCAUCCAGAAGUCAUCGCUUUAUUAUCACGUAACGCUGAAGAUGAAAAGAAGAAAAUGGCUAUAAUUGUUGCUCCAUCUGUAGCCAGUGUACUGAUUGUAGCUGUUUUGAUCGCUUGUAUAGCUUGGUGCUGUCAAAAACGAGCUAAAGCCAAGAAAAAAACGGCAAAACUUACGGCCAAGAUGACUGGCUGGGAUGAGGAAGUGCCUCUUACACCUACGACAGCUAAACCUGACCUUGCUCAGUUAAAAUUGAUAAAGGAAUACGAUUUACGACGUGGAGGUAUUAUUGGCUCUGGAGCAUUUGGUACUGUCUAUAAAGAUUUUGGAUUCCAGAAGGUGAAAAUGUUAAAAUUCCUGUGGCUAUAAAAGUUUUACAGGAAGGAACCUCACCCAAUCAGAAUAAAGAAUUGUUGGAAGAGGCUCGUGUCAUGUCGUCAGUAGAACAUCAGUAUUGUGUCAGGAUAUUGGCAGUCUGUAUGACGGCACAAAUGAUGUUAAUAACGCAGCUCAUGCCUCUCGGAUGUCUUCUGGAUUACGUGCGAAAAAACAAAGAUCACAUUGGAUCGAAAGUUUUGUUGAAUUGGUGUACACAAAUUGCUAAGGUGAGUAGAAUCGCAGUUUUAUCCACAAAAACAAUCUUUUAGUUCCUGAAAACCCCCAACAAUCCUUAAGAUGCAACACUGACAAGGGGGAGUUAACAAGCUAGCAUCUUACCCACUGAGCCACAGAUAGGAUUAUGCAAGAGCUAAAUCUGCCUAUUGUAGGUCUUUGUUUAGGUCUGAAAUGUUUUCUAAAGUAUUAAUUAGACAUUAAUUAACUGAUCCAGGCCUUAAUCAACUCUAGAUGGUAUCAGAUUUCUCCAAUAUACACCAGGAUCUAGCUGCCUUGUGCAUGAUGCCUGUCUGUAGAAAGUCAUAUACACCAGGAUCUAGCUGCCUAGUGCAUGAUGCCUGUCUGUAGAAAGUUAUAUACACCAGGAUCUAGCUGCCUUGUGCAUGAUGUCUGUCUGUAGAAAGUUAUAUACACCAGGAUCUAGCUGCCUAGUGCAUGAUACCUGUCUUUAGAAAGUGAUGUACUUCAGCCUCCAGAUAUCUAAAGAUAAUUAUUUAAACAUCCUGAUCUACAGAGAAUUAAAGAUGAUCUGGAAAUUGUAAUCAUGCUCUUACUGCCUGGUGCAUGACAACUGUUAAUACCUAUACUCCUGAUAUCCCAUUUUAAAAAUAAACUUUAAUUGUUUUUGUGGAAAGGUGUACAAAGUGAUAUACUCCCGGGACCGUGUUCACUAAAAUAUGUUAAGAAUGCAGCUUUUUCAUUGGUUAAUAGCUUAAAUUUGUACUAGGAUUUAAAGCCUCAGCCAAUGAAAACCUUUCAUCCUUAAGAUAUUUUAGUUCACGAUUUCAUGAAUAAGGUCCGAGAUAUCCCAUUUUAAAAAUUAACUUUUUGUUUUUGUAGAAAGAAAUUGUUUUCUCAUUUUUAACCUCACAUAAUAUAAAAUGCUAUCAGGUUUGGUGGAAUUGUUAAUAAGAUAAAAUUCUGUAUAAUUGUAAAUACUUGUAAUAAAGAGGAUAUUAAUUCAAUAUAUCAUAGAUCUAAUAUCAGUAAUAAUCCAAAUACGACACAUAGCAAAUAUUUUAAUUUAUUAAAAAACGAAUUCCAUAUCAUUUUUUUUUCUUUUUCAUUUUUUUUUGUUUAGUAGCUUAGAGUUUCUAAUCAAAUCGUGGAAACGUGUUGUUUUAAAAUCAAUUGGUUCAAAUAGAUCAUUAAAAGGUAAACAAAAGUAAACAAAAAUCAUAAUUUCUUUUCUUAAACUAUGUUAAGCCAAUAUUCUCUAUAUAAUGAAAUGAAAUGGGGUUUAAAAGUUCUUAUUUCCUGCAAAAACUGGGCUGAUGAAGACAAUCAUACAUCGUACAGUGUGCUAUGAGGGGAAUUUUACCUGGACAGUGGCACUACGACCUACGCUUUAUUUCAAUUUCUGACUGUUAAUGGUUCUUUUAGCUUACUUGCUGCCCAUCGUGUAAACGGGACCUAGGUCUUUCAUCUGAUCCGGAACGACUAGACAUCGUUCGGUCUAUAUAAAGACAGUUGUAAAUCCUGUUUUAGUUUACGUGCUGCCCAUCGUGUAAACGGUACCUGGAUCUUUCAUCCCAUCCCGAACGACUAGACACUGUUCUGUUGAUAUAAAUACAAUACAAUUUUAAAUCCUAUUUUAUUUGUAUAUUUACCAAAAGUUUUAUAAAUUUUAUCAAUCAUAUUGAAAUUUUAUAAACUGUAAUUCCAAAACUUAGGGUUUUUUUUAAAAAAAUUAUUUUGAAUUAAUGUUUUAUUUUCAUGCAGUGAUUUUAAAGUAGCCAUUUUAAAGGGGCACAAUUGUCAGCCAUGUUUUAGAUAGUCUUGGAUACCCAGAACAAUCUGAAUGAUAGAGACUAUGUAUUACAUUCAUUUGCCUAAAAUAAAUGUUAUUAAUAAAUUAUGUUUUUAGGGGCCAGAAUACAAAUGUAAAUUCGAUAUCUCAAUUUUGUGAAAAUUUUGGACCUUAUUCACAAAAACUAAAUUAUUUGAGGGAUGCAACAAUUUCAUUGGUUGAGAUUUGAAAUCAUAGUACAAAUUUGAUCUUUUCGCCAAUAAAAAAGCCACCUUUCUUGAAAUAUUUUAGUUUAAAUUUUUGUGAAUAAGACCCUUGAUGUUAAUUACGUAAUAUGUUGAAUAAAAUCUCUUUUUCAACCUACAUGAAAGCCAACCUAAAAUUUAAAAAUUUAUAAAAAUAAGUAAUUCAGCUGGACACCAUGAUCAUAUGAUAACUGAGGUAUCCAGGCUGGAUAAUCGUGACUUAGUCUUGAUUGUCAAGUACUGCUGCUACGGUAUUAAAUUCUCAAUGAUUCAACUUCAAGUAGUCAUAAUUUUGCUCAGAAUAAAGUAAUUUGAAUGAUAUUUUCAAUAUUAUCUAUUUAUCAACUGGUAUAUCAAGAAAGUCCAGGUUUUUUUUUAUCUAAAUCUUACAUAAUACAUCUUUAAGAAGAAAUCAACAACAUAACCAUUUUUAUCCAAAUUUUAAAUAUAUUUUUAGCUUUAUAUAUAUAUUUAUCCACAGAGUCUGUAAGAUAUUUAUCAUUUGAACCUUGAAUUAGGACAAAAUGGGUCUAAAAGCACACAUCAAAGUAAUAUGAAUGUAUAUAUACAAUGAUUUCAAAAUUAGUCAGAAACCAUAGAGUAGAGUACACGACUCGUGUACCUAAUUUAAAAUGUUCAUUAUGUAUUAAAUAUUGGAUAUUAUAAUUAAGAUCCCAUAUUUCUUAUGGCAAGAUAACAAUAUCAAUAGUGAUUGAAAUGGACCAAUAUUGAAUUCUACUUCAUGUUUUUAAUUUCGAAUAUUAUAAAAAAAUAGUUAGAGGUUAAGCUCCUUUAAUAUAUUUAAAUGAAAAGUAAAAUAUAUAUAUAGAUGUACCCGGAAGCUAUAUCACGUGAUUUAGACAGAUUAAUUAUCAUACUAAACUUACGCUGUCUGUCUAUAAAUAGCUCGGUUUGAUAACAGACAGGAAGUAGAGUAGAUAGUUCUCUGGGUGCUGAAUGAAUAAUUAUAACCUGUUACUUCCUGUGAUGUAUUUGAUUUCAGUAAGUUCUUAGUUCUUGUAUAACCUGUUAUAUACACAGCUGUUGUUAUAUUAUAUAACCAACUACCUGAUAUAUCGUGUGAGUUAAUAUGAUGAUCAUGUCAGAUGUAUAAUAUACAAAUUAAUAAUAAAAAUAUUUCUUUCAAACACUAGAAACUCACAGUUCUUAUUUUGUUGUAUCCAGCUGUUAUGUUUUUUAUACCCUCUUAUCGUGGAGUAUGUAACAGAAUACAUUGAAAAGAAAACGGGGCCUAACAGUACACUGAUC
Molecule: long non-coding RNA, 4576 nt
Organism: Patella vulgata (common limpet)
Lineage: Eukaryota; Metazoa; Mollusca; Gastropoda; Patellidae
Exons: 4
Source: RefSeq, a predicted model, not a curated record